This 76-nucleotide transfer RNA is filed under the name Pseudomonas aeruginosa. Its description in RNAcentral is "tRNA-Lys". It matches the Rfam family "tRNA". Rfam says of the family: Transfer RNA (tRNA) molecules are approximately 80 nucleotides in length. Lineage: Bacteria; Pseudomonadati; Pseudomonadota; Gammaproteobacteria; Pseudomonadales; Pseudomonadaceae. The record is from RNAcentral.
GGGUCGUUAGCUCAGUCGGUAGAGCAGUUGGCUUUUAACCAAUUGGUCGUAGGUUCGAAUCCUACAUGACCCACCA